CCUACGGGUGGCUGCAGUGAGGAAUAUUGGUCAAUGGCCGGAAGGCUGAACCAGCCAAGCCGCGUGAAGGACGAAGGUGCCAAGCAUUGUAAACUUCUUUUGUCAAGGCACAAAAUCAGGCUCGAGAGCCUGACCGAGGGUACUUGAAGAAAAAGCAUCGGCUACCUCGGUCCCAGCAGCCGCGGAAAUACGGGGGAGGCGAGGGUUAUACGGAUGGAUUGGGUUUAAAGGGGGCGUAGGCGGACUGUUAAGUCAGCGGUAACAGCCCGGGGCUCAACCCCGGCGAGCCGUUGAAACUGGGUGUCUUGAGAUGUCGAGAGGUAUGCGGAAUGCGCAGUGUAGCGGUGAAAUGCGUAGAUAUUGCGAAGAACUCCGAUGGCGAAGGCAGCAUACCGGCGGCGAUCUGACGCUGAGGCACGAAAGCGUGGGGAGCGAACAGGAUUAGAUACCCCGGUAGUC
RNAcentral lists this ribosomal RNA (459 nucleotides) under uncultured bacterium. RNAcentral's name for it is "partial 16S ribosomal RNA". It matches the Rfam family "Bacterial small subunit ribosomal RNA", at positions 338 to 795 of the family's 1533-position model. The record is from RNAcentral.